GAUGAACGCCGGCGGCGUGCCUAAUACAUGCAAGUCGAGCGAACAGACGAGGAGCUUGCUCCUCUGACGUUAGCGGCGGACGGGUGAGUAACACGUGGAUAACCUACCUAUAAGACUGGGAUAACUUCGGGAAACCGGAGCUAAUACCGGAUAAUAUAUUGAACCGCAUGGUUCAAUAGUGAAAGACGGUUUUGCUGUCACUUAUAGAUGGAUCCGCGCCGCAUUAGCUAGUUGGUAAGGUAACGGCUUACCAAGGCAACGAUGCGUAGCCGACCUGGGAGGGUGAUCGGCCACACUGGAACUGAGACACGGUCCAGACUCCUACGGGAGGCAGCAGUAGGGAAUCUUCCGCAAUGGGCGAAAGCCUGACGGAGCAACGCCGCGUGAGUGAUGAAGGUCUUCGGAUCGUAAAACUCUGUUAUUAGGGAAGAACAAAUGUGUAAGUAACUAUGCACGUCUUGACGGUACCUAAUCAGAAAGCCACGGCUAACUACGUG
This 497-nucleotide ribosomal RNA is filed under the name uncultured bacterium. Its description in RNAcentral is "partial 16S ribosomal RNA". It matches the Rfam family "Bacterial small subunit ribosomal RNA", at positions 28 to 507 of the family's 1533-position model. The record is from RNAcentral.